UACGAAGGGGGCUAGCGUUGCUCGGAAUCACUGGGCGUAAAGCGCACGUAGGCGGAUUGCUAAGUCAGGGGUGAAAUCCUGGAGCUCAACUCCAGAACUGCCUUUGAUACUGGCAACCUUGAGUCCGGGAGAGGUGAGUGGAACUGCGAGUGUAGAGGUGAAAUUCGUAGAUAUUCGCAAGAACACCAGUGGCGAAGGCGGCUCACUGGUCCGGUACCGACGCUGAGGUGCGAAAGCGUGGGGAGCAAACAGG
RNAcentral lists this ribosomal RNA (253 nucleotides) under uncultured bacterium. RNAcentral describes it as "partial 16S ribosomal RNA". It matches the Rfam family "Bacterial small subunit ribosomal RNA", at positions 524 to 776 of the family's 1533-position model. The record is from RNAcentral.